Molecule: long non-coding RNA, 285 nt
Filed under: Actinidia chinensis (golden kiwifruit)
Lineage: Eukaryota; Viridiplantae; Streptophyta; Magnoliopsida; Ericales; Actinidiaceae
Description: long non-coding RNA (ACHI_LNC003571)
Source: RNAcentral
AGGAGACGAGGUACAAAAGACCUGACCUAGAUCCCAAACGGUCUAGCAAUAGGCGUCCUCGCACCCCGCCUCGCCGACCUAAGUUUAUCCUGCCACCACUCAACGCCCCUGUCGCCCAAGUUCUCUCAGAAAUUAAACACGAAGAAUUCGUCAAAUGGCCCGGAAAGAUCAAAACUGACCCCAAAAAGAGGAACAGGAACAAAUAUUGUGAAUUCCACCGGGACCACGGACACAAUACUGAGGACUGUUUUCAACUAAAAGAGCAGAUUGCCGACCUCAUUAAAA